This 512-nucleotide long non-coding RNA is filed under the name Mus caroli (Ryukyu mouse). Its description in RNAcentral is "lncRNA (MGP_CAROLIEiJ_G0003212.1)". Lineage: Eukaryota; Metazoa; Chordata; Mammalia; Rodentia; Muridae. The record is from RNAcentral.
CAUUCCCCUCCCACCCAGGGCAUCGGCGGCAACGGCGAGCCAGCGAGACGCUUGUCCUACAGCGCCUCCUCCUGGACAAAGCUCCAGACAGCCGAAAAGGGACACCACCAGCCCUAGAAAACCUAGAAUAGGCACUUCCUUCCUGGGGCAUCAGAAGUUGAUCCUGCCACGUCCACUGGAGAGGCAAAAAGGAGUCCAAAAGUCCUUGAGGCUACCUCUUACCGCCUCAGCCCCAGCUCAGACAACAAGCCUGUGACCCAGAAGCGAGCAUCUCAUCUCUCGUUGAUUAGCCUUUCCAGAGACUGCACUCCCAGCUCUUGUGUCCACCCAAGAAGAAACCAAGGCCAGGACAUUGGCUCCCCAGUCUAUAAAUAGAGGUUUGGACCCAGGACGCUGGGAGUUUUGCCCAGAAACCUCUAAAACACCCAAGGAUUCAGCAAACACCCAAGAUAUGGAGGACAGACGCUAGAUGUGAAUUCUUAUGCAGUGAAUUAAACAAUAUGUUAUUACAC